GCCAUAUCACGUUGAAGCACCAGUUCCCGCACAAUCAACGUAGUUAAGAAAAGUCGAGCCUGGUCAGUACCUAGACGGGUGACCGUUUGGGAAUACCAGGUGCUGUAAG
Acanthosepion pharaonis is the source of this 109-nucleotide non-coding RNA. Lineage: Eukaryota; Metazoa; Mollusca; Cephalopoda; Sepiida; Sepiidae. The record is from the annotation of a GenBank genome assembly.